RNAcentral lists this small RNA (1049 nucleotides) under uncultured Pelagibacterales bacterium. Its description in RNAcentral is "bacterial SSU rRNA". The stretch from base 1 to 658 matches the Rfam family "Bacterial small subunit ribosomal RNA", at positions 867 to 1533 of the family's 1533-position model. Lineage: Bacteria; Pseudomonadati; Pseudomonadota; Alphaproteobacteria; Candidatus Pelagibacterales. The record is from RNAcentral.
CACCGCCUGGGGAGUACGACCGCAAGGUUAAAACUCAAAUGAAUUGACGGGGACCCGCACAAGCAGUGGAGCAUGUGGUUUAAUUCGAAGAUACGCGCAGAACCUUACCAACACUUGACAUGUUCGUCGCGAACCUAAGAGAUUAGGUUUUUCAGUUUGGCUGGACGAAACACAGGUGCUGCAUGGCUGUCGUCAGCUCGUGUCGUGAGAUGUUGGGUUAAGUCCCGCAACGAGCGCAACCCUCACUUUUAGUUGCUACCAUUAAGUUGGGCACUCUAAAAGAACUGCCAGUGAUAAGCUGGAGGAAGGUGGGGAUGACGUCAAGUCCUCAUGGCCCUUACGUGUUGGGCUACACACGUGCUACAAUGGUAUUUACAAUGGGAUGCAAAGAGGCGACUCUAAGCGAAUCCCAAAAAGGUACCUCAGUUCGGAUUGUACUCUGCAACUCGAGUGCAUGAAGCUGGAAUUGCUAGUAAUCGCGGAUCAGCGCGCCGCGGUGAAUACGUUCCCGGGUCUUGUACACACCGCCCGUCACACCAUGGAAGUUGGUUACACCUUAAGGCAAAGCUUAAAACCUUUGACUACGGUACGAUCAGCGACUGGGGUGAAGUCGUAACAAGGUAGCCGUAGGGGAACCUGCGGCUGGAUCACCUCCUUUCUAAGGAAAUCGAAAAAUUUUUUUCGAUUUUAAAAAAAUCGGUAAUGUGACCGUCCUCAUUUCUCUUCUUUAAUAAUGUCUCUGAGUAAAAAUGUAAGGGGCCGGUAGCUCAGGUGGUUAGAGCGCACCCCUGAUAAGGGUGAGGUCGGAAGUUCGAGUCUUCCUCGGCCCACCAAUAGUCUAGGGGGAUUAGCUCAGCUGGGAGAGCGCCUGAUUUGCAUUCAGGAGGUCAGCGGUUCGAUCCCGCUAUCCUCCACCAAAAUUUGAGACAUUUAGCUUUUUUAAAUAGUGAAUAUUAUUAAUAUCAAUAUCUAUAUCCGAUUGUUUUCAUAUUUUUUAAUGGAAGCAAUCAAAACAAAAAUUUAAUUUAUUACAGAAAAGUUUUUUUCUG